Long non-coding RNA from Lolium rigidum, 801 nucleotides. RefSeq lists it as uncharacterized. NCBI's taxonomy places the organism in Eukaryota, Viridiplantae, Streptophyta, Magnoliopsida, Poales, Poaceae. The transcript is spliced from 2 exons. The record is from RefSeq and is a predicted model, not a curated record.
CGUAUUGUGGUCAUAGGUAUUGUCAUGUUCAUGUGAGACUUCAAAAGAAAGGUGAUGAACUAAAUAAAAUUUGCAAAUUUAUUGUCAGAGGAGUUGAAUAAAUUGUGGUAGUGACUUAGUGUAUAUGAGCAGUGACACAACUUAGAUCAUGAACAAUACUGUAUAGACUCGGGUUUUGAUCAGGUCAACUAGGAAAGAAGGGAAUCUGUUGUAUAUAUGUCAGCGAAGAAGCAUCCAGUGAUAUGUGUUGGGUAAACAUGUUUAAACGUCCAAGGAAUUAUUUUUCCCAAGAUGAUUUACCAUGUCAAAAUUGUGUUAUACAUGUGUCCUUGAGUACAUCUAGAAGAUGUACCACUUCAAUAUUCAAAGGUGAGAUUACUUGCCAUAGAAACAGAGAUGAGUUUGUUCAGUUUUAACUCUACGCAUUCAAUUUUGAUGAAAUAAUUACGAGAACUUAUUCCUAAAAACUAAAUUAUAUUAUUACAUAUGUUUAAGGUUAUUUUCCUCGCAUCAAAAUUUCUCAACAACUUCUUUAUUCGGUGAAAUGCAACCAAGGCCGAAGGGACGUGUUCAAUGCCCAGUAGCUAUUUGAGAAAACAAAGCGGUGCUAAGUUUUGGUGGUGCAAGUACCUAUUAAAUCUACGUUUUCUCUAUAGUGCCACCGUGGCCUCUAAAAACCAUGACACGACAACACCCAUAAGCAGCUUAUGUAGAUGUUGUUUUUGAUGUUCCUUUCGUACUCCUGACAGAACCAUCGAGUGUUAGUUACUAUAAUAAUAUUAUUCUAUUUCCCUUAUUGUA